CCUACGGGUGGCAGCAGUGAGGAGUAUUGGUCAAUGGCCGGAAGGCUGAACCAGCCAAGCCGCGUGAAGGACGAAGGUGCCAAGCAUUGUAAACUUCUUUUGUCAAGGGACAAAAUCAGGCUCGAGAGCCUGACCGAGGGUACUUGAAGAAAAAGCAUCGGCCAACUCCGUGCCAGCAGCCGCGGUAAUACGGAGGAUGCGAGCGUUAUCCGGAUUUAUUGGGUUUAAAGGGUGCGUAGGCGGACUGUUAAGUCCGCGGUAAAAGCCCGGGGCUCAACCCCGGCGAGCCGUUGAAACUGGCUGUCUUGAGAUGUCGAGAGGUAGGCGGAAUUCCGUGUGUAGCGGUGAAAUGCGUAGAUAUACGGAGGAACACCAGUGGCGAAGGCGGCCUGCUGGACAUUAACUGACGCUGAGGCGCGAAAGCGUGGGGAGCAAACAGGAGUAGAUACCCCAGUAGUC
Molecule: ribosomal RNA, 459 nt
Filed under: uncultured bacterium
Lineage: Bacteria
Description: partial 16S ribosomal RNA
Rfam family: Bacterial small subunit ribosomal RNA
Source: RNAcentral